GACGAACGCUGGCGGCGUGCCUAAUACAUGCAAGUAGAACGCUGAAGGAGGAGCUUGCUUCUCUGGAUGAGUUGCGAACGGGUGAGUAACGCGUAGGUAACCUGCCUGGUAGCGGGGGAUAACUAUUGGAAACGAUAGCUAAUACCGCAUAAUAGUAGAUGUCGCAUGACAUUUGCUUAAAAGGUGCAAUUGCAUCACUACCAGAUGGACCUGCGUUGUAUUAGCUAGUUGGUGAGGUAACGGCUCACCAAGGCAACGAUACAUAGCCGACCUGAGAGGGUGAUCGGCCACACUGGGACUGAGACACGGCCCAGACUCCUACGGGAGGCAGCAGUAGGGAAUCUUCGGCAAUGGACGGAAGUCUGACCGAGCAACGCCGCGUGAGUGAAGAAGGUUUUCGGAUCGUAAAGCUCUGUUGUAAGAGAAGAACGAGUGUGAGAGUGGAAAGUUCACACUGUGACGGUAUCUUACCAGAAGGGACGGCUAACUACGUG
This 494-nucleotide ribosomal RNA is filed under the name uncultured bacterium. RNAcentral's name for it is "partial 16S ribosomal RNA". It matches the Rfam family "Bacterial small subunit ribosomal RNA", at positions 28 to 507 of the family's 1533-position model. The record is from RNAcentral.